GCCAGACUCCUACGGGAGGCAGCAGUGAGGAAUAUUGGUCAAUGGGCGCAAGCCUGAACCAGCCAAGUCGCGUGAGGGAUGACGGUCCUAUGGAUUGUAAACCUCUUUUGUCGGGGAGCAAGGCCCGCCACGUGUGGCGGGAAGGAGAGGACCCGAAGAAAAAGCAUCGGCUAACUCCGUGCCAGCAGCCGCGGUAAUACGGAGGAUGCGAGCGUUAUCCGGAUUUAUUGGGUUUAAAGGGUGCGCAGGCGGUCUGUUAAGUCAGCGGUCAAAGCCCGGGGCUCAACCCCGGUCCGCCGUUGAAACUGGCAGUCUCGAGUUGGAGAGAAGUAUGCGGAAUGCGCGGUGUAGCGGUGAAAUGCAUAGAUAUCGCGCAGAACUCCGAUUGCGAAGGCAGCAUGCCGGCUCCACACUGACGCUGAGGCACGAAAGCGUGGGUAUCGAACAGGAUUAGAUACCCCAGUAAU
Molecule: ribosomal RNA, 467 nt
Filed under: uncultured bacterium
Lineage: Bacteria
Description: bacterial SSU rRNA
Rfam family: Bacterial small subunit ribosomal RNA
Source: RNAcentral